CCCGAUGAACCUGAAUAUCCGUUAUGGAAAAUUCAACAUUAAUAUUAUAAUAUAUAUUUUUGUAAUAUUAUAAAAAUAGUGUGCAAUUUUUCCAUAUAAGGACAUUGUAAUCUGUUAGUGUAAUAUAAAUAUUUAUUAAAAGAUCUAAUUAAAGAGUUUAUUCAAAUUAGUUAUUUUCGAAUUUCUAACAUAGAAUAAAUUGAUUAGAUUUAAUAAAUCAUUGACAGUUUUAUUUGUAUAUAGUGCUUAAAUUCUUUAUUGAAUUUUACAAUGAUUGUUUUUUUUUUUUAUAUAAAAUUUUCAAUUGUUUGCACUUAUAUAAUUAACAAUGCUAUAAAUUCAGGAUACCUUCGGGACCCGUCUUGAAACACGGACCAAGGACUCUAACAUAUGUGCAAGUCAUUGGGUAUUUAUAAUAAAACCCAAUGGCAAAAUUAACUUAACUGUUUUUUUUUUUUUUUAAAUUUGGGAUUAGUUUAAAUUUUAUUAUGAAAUAUAAAUUCAAUCCCGGGGCGUUCUAUAUAGUUAUGUAUAAUAGUAUUUAUAUUAUUUAUGCCUCUAACUAGAGC
This 569-nucleotide ribosomal RNA is filed under the name Platynochaetus setosus. RNAcentral describes it as "partial 28S ribosomal RNA". Lineage: Eukaryota; Metazoa; Arthropoda; Insecta; Diptera; Syrphidae. The record is from RNAcentral.